RNAcentral lists this ribosomal RNA (479 nucleotides) under uncultured bacterium. RNAcentral describes it as "partial 16S ribosomal RNA". It matches the Rfam family "Bacterial small subunit ribosomal RNA", at positions 28 to 523 of the family's 1533-position model. The record is from RNAcentral.
GAUGAACGCUGGCGGCGUGCUUAACACAUGCAAGUCGAACGGACUAAGGAGCUUGCUCCUUAGUUAGUGGCGGACGGGUGAGUAACGCGUGGGUAACCUGCCCUAUGCAGGGGGACAACAGUUGGAAACGACUGCUAAUACCGCAUAACAUAUGAGGUUCGCACGAACUUCAUAUCAAGGAUUUAUCGGCAUAGGAUGGACCCGCGUUGGAUUAGCUAGUUGGUGAGAUAAAAGCUCACCAAGGCAACGAUCCAGAGCCGGCCUGAGAGGGUGAACGGCCACACUGGGACUGAGACACGGCCGAGACGCCUACGGGAGGCAGCAGUGGGGAAUAUUGCACAAUGGGCGCAAGCCUGAUGCAGCGACGCCGCGUGAAGGAUGAAGGUUUUCGGAUCGUAAACUUCUAUCAGCAGGGAGGAACCAAAUGACGGUACCUGACUAAGAAGCCCCGGCUAACUACGUGCCAGCCGCCGCAGUAA